Non-coding RNA from Nothobranchius furzeri (turquoise killifish), 14125 nucleotides. The record is from RefSeq and is a predicted model, not a curated record. NCBI's taxonomy places the organism in Eukaryota, Metazoa, Chordata, Actinopteri, Cyprinodontiformes, Nothobranchiidae.
GUUCGACCUCCUAAUUGCAUCAUCAGCUGCUCUGUUUCUCCUUUUGUUCCCCGGCAUCUCAGUUCAACGCUGUUGAAUUCCUUCAAUUACUCCCCGUCUAGACUGAACUAUGGAUUCCCUUUAGCCACAGGUGAAGUCAAACCCACCCCACACCUGUCUCCGACUUCCACGCUUCCCAGCCGGUUCACCUGGGUGGUCCCUGGUAGCUAUUUAUAUUACUCAUGAAUAAAAUGCAGGCAUUAAAUCAAAUGCAGAAACUAAUUUGGCCCAACAAUCAAAUCAACUAAAUCAAAAUGAACAGUGAACAUUGACCUUUUCUUUAUUUUGCAGCGUUUUUUGGUUGAUGAGCUGAAAAGUAUUAAGUUUUAUGGCCAAGCAGAGACACUAGUCUGAAAGAUUAAUCAAAGGCAUUAUUAUUAUUUCAAAAACGAUUUAGUCUGAGUGGAAGCUCCAUUUUUUUUAUUAAAUAACUUGGUUCCAUUCCAGGAACGAUUGAUGAGCAACUCUGGUGAAAGUUCUGUAACCCAGCCAGCGUCCUCGACACUCUCUGCCUGGGCUUAAUCAUCAGCCUGUUUUACAUCAAAGCGAGCCUUGGCGAACCUCCCACCCAUAUUUGUUACACCUUAGCCUUAAAUAUCAGCUUCUGCGUCUCUGCCAGUUGAAGGGAAUUAAUAUGCAUUAAAGCUAAGUGCUGAGGUUUAGAGGAGGAGACCUGACUUUUUGUGCAGCGUGCCGUAGAGGGAGUGGGCUGUGAGUUACGAGGGAUGGGACUGAUUCUGACACUUUGAGGCAGCCCUUAUUCAAUGUGCACCUUUUGUCACCGUUCACCAGCCAUGUCUUUUAUAUCCGUCAUGCACAGGAUUCCAUAACUCCAUUAGCAACACCCCCACAACAAACACAAGCCAGUCCUCCCCUGGAAAACACCCGCAUGUUGUGCACUGCUUGCACCUUUUUCACUACAAUUGCUUCCCAUCUGUUGUCCCUAUUGUGGUGUUCUAAUGUUUAGUCAUAAAAUUGUGAUUUAGGCUCUUUGCAUUAUUCUGAAUUGGCAUUCAGGAAAUACUGUUUUUUUUUCUUUUCCUGAACAAACUGAGAAUAGUUGCGGUCACUUUGUAUGCAUUUGCGUCCAACAGGUGAGUUUCCUGAAUAUCUUUGACACGUCUCUGAAGAACGUCACAGGCUACAUGACAGAUUGAAGACCAAGGCUUUUGGCCAAUCCGUCAAUCUGUUCAAAUGAGAAAAAUACCGUUUCACACACACAAACAUGCACAUCUGGAGAAAGAAAAGCCACCCUCGUUGCAGACAUCUGGUAGAGUGGAGGAAACGGUCUGUUGUGUUCCUGGAGCCCCCCGAGGAGUCGCCGUGUGGAACUCAGACUCGUUCUGGCCACCGAGGUCCUUAAAGGACACCAGUGGCCAGGUGCCAGGGAGACAGUUUGGCGCCUAAUUCAUCACCGAGCCUUCCUGAGUGACACGCUGGAAUGACAGUGUUCAGCACAUGGCCGUUUCUCUUCCUCUUUCUCUCUACAUCUCCAUCUAAUUAACAGAGCUUUUAAAUCCCAACAUGGCAACCUCUUAAUGAGCCAGACCCAAUAAAAUCACAGCUGAAAUGUAUUUCUUCCACGCCGGCUUUUGUAAGGCACCUCCCAUCUUUUUGUGACAGGAAAUCCGAUUUUUCUCCGGAGUAAUCAUUAAACCUCCACGUUUUCUUCUCCAUCCUUACUUUGAUCGGUUUUCUCGUGGCCUCUCCGGUCCUCCAUCUGCUGGAAGAUAAAUAGGCCAAAGUACAGCAGUCACUCUGUCAGUUCUUGAAGGCUGAUCAAAGCGGCGAGACACAACCUGUCCCAUCCCCAACCUGUCGCAUCCACAACACAAUUUAGCUGCGAGGAGGAGAGGAUUCAGACGUCUCAGUUUUUCACUCUGUCACUGAGCUGAUGAAUAAAAACCACUGAGAGGGAAGCAGUAAAGCUCAGGCUGUGGAUUUGUUUUUCUGUGGAAUUGUAAAAAAAAAAAAAAAAAAAAAAGAUGAAACCAUGAAGCGUGCCGGAUGGGUUUUGCCGUGAUUUAUUUAUGCUGACUCGCUCUCAUGUCUGUAUGGAGAUGUUCUGGUUUUGGGGUGACGAGCACAGAUCUCCACUUUAAACAAUUAAAGACCCUACCUGGACAUUCCUCACCAAACUCCAUCACUUCUGCCCUCACCUGGUCUAAAUAAUGCCCCUUUUAGAGACAUUAAAAAGCAACAAAAGUUGACGGGCAGCACAUAAAAGCGCCCCAUGUGUCUUGUAUCACUUUUUUGUGCUCGAGAGUCUCUUACUAAAUGUGGUUUUCUCGGGUUCUUUGACUUUAUACCAGUAAACCCAGUUUGUACAGAAAGGCUUUCAGCCUCCUGGUAGUUCCACUCGAGGGCUUAAAGACUGCGACUUUAUCCAUUUCCUUUGAGAUGACAGACUUUUUAUGUGCUCAGAAAAUCUCUCGGAGGUGUCCGAGGGGUGUUGUGUACCCUACUGCUCGACAAAGGACAUGUGUUAACUGUGUUUUCUUCUUCUUCUUUCUUGUUCUUCUCAAGUGCUGCUUCUCUGUGAGCCCACUUCCUACGCUACAUCCCCUUGGUUUAUUAUGUUUUGCCUGAAGACUUUGCUGAAUUCCGGUCCAUAAAUCCGUCGGUUUUGCCCGAGUGUGCACUUCAUUUUUCAGGUUCUCCAGUGUCUGCUUAAACAGUGCAGAGUGGAUGUCUUACAGCUGGUGCUGGCAUGAUUUCCUGCCUAUAGGCUGGUCUGAAGAAGAGGAUGAAGCAUUGACAGAGGACAGAGGUUGCGCGUCUCGCCUGUGAUUAAUGGUAAUCCCAACACCACGGGGUUCAGAGAAGAACUCCAAGAGGGAACUGCACAACAAUUGAAAGCAAAUGGAAGAUGUGUGAACAGACACAUUUUAACACAAGUAGGGUAUUCACUAAGAGACAAAUAGAGUCCCCAUUAGGACUUAUUUUCAUGUCAUGAUUAUUGGGACAAAACCAUGGACUUUAGAAAUGUGACAUUUCUGCAGCAGGUUAAUGUUAUUCUUAACUUCCAUCCGCUUUCCGCUGCAUAGCCAAGGUCCCGUCUAGGAGGUGGUAGGUUAAAGGGACUUUUCGGACUUUUGAAUUUUUAUGCUCGUGAUUGCCCCCUCAGGCCAAAAGCAUAAUGGCAGCUUCAAUAGUAGGCUCGUGCAUGAGGCGCGCAUGCUGCACGUGCACACUCCUUAAUGAAAAUAACAGCUGAGACAGUCCCGUGUGUGUGUGUGUGUGUGUGUGUGUGUGUGUGUGUGUGUGUGUGUGUGUGUGUGUGUGUGUGUGUGUGUGUGUGUGUGUGUGUGUGUGUGUGUGUGUGUGUGUGUGUGUGUGUGUGUGUGUGUGUGUGUGGGUGGGUGUGUGUGUGGGUGUGUGUGUGUGGCCCGGAGGACAGAGGACAGGAGAACGUGCAGCUAAUUAAUUAAAUAAUUUGGUUCUGUACCUUUCUCUUCAGCACAGCCGACAAAGGUUUAUGAUGGGUCAGUCCUCCUGCAUGCUCAGAUCAUUCCCUUCCCUUGCUUGAAAAAUUGUUCCAAAAUGAAAGUUGAACCCACAUCUUUUUAUCUGUGAAUUCAAUGCCGUUCGGUGAGUCUCAAAUAAAAAUUUGGGCAAAAAGCAACAGUGAGAUCCUGAGGUUCCCAAACCAAACUCAUUUCUCUACAUUUGAACUUUGAAGUCUUGUGAAUGAAUGAUGGAAACCGAAUUAGAGGCCAGGUGAAGUCCAACUUAGGAAAAAGCUCCGUUGCUCAAGCUUUUCUCGACUUUUAACUGACUAAGGAGAGUAUUUACCCUUGGAAGAGAGAUGUGAAGCAGAGUAGCGAGUAUAACUACAUUGUUAUUCUAGAACAAAACCAAACAAACAAGGUCGAAACAGAAACUGUGCCGGUUUGGAUUGGACUGAACUUUUUCUGGUUAAAAUCCAAUUUAGCUUAAUUCUCCAGAAACAUAUUCCAUGUAGAUCAUUCUGUAAUCUUAAAGGCAAUGGCCAGAUUUCAUGAGCUGCAGGAUUUAAUUUGAAGCUGCAAUUCAAUAGAAACUUUCUCAGAUGGGAGUUUCCAGUUAUAUGUGAAAUCUAGAAUAUUGCUCUAAGCUUUGAAAACAAACACAGGCAGCUAAUUAUAAUAAUGACCUGUGCAAAUUAACGCCAGGUCAUAAACAAGAAGAGCGUCUGAUAAUCAGACGAGGGUAGUUAAACCACAAUAUUGGUGCAGCUUGUUUUAUAUUCAAUUCAAUUCAAGUUUAUUUAUGUAGCGCCAAAUCACGACAAGAGUCGUCUCAAGGCACUUCACGUGGUAAACAUUCAAUACAGGUCGGUUCAUUAAGCCAAUCAGAACAAAGUUCCUAUAAAAGGAACCCAGCAAAUUGCAUCAGGUCACUGACUGGUGUUAGUGACUUUACAGCAAUGUACAAACAUCUUCAACGUAGACUUGUUUUACCAAGAAGAGAAUUUAAUACAAAUCUGAGCAAUGUUUGUUUGGUUGCAUGUUUAAAAAGCUGCUAUAAAUAAACCCUAAUUUCACCUAGAUAUCAUAAAGCUUUAGUCUUCAAUUACCUCUAUUGAAAUUACUUGUUGGCUUUCAUGCUUCAGGACCAUGGAAAGCGUGUUUAAAUGAGGCCAUUACUGAGUCAUUAAACCCUAACAUGCAGCAAUAACAAGAAAAAGGCAAAUAAAUUUAGUUUAUCUAACAACCAUCUCGCUUUAAUCUCAGCGCAGCUCCAGUUUCUGUAAAAGAGCCGGCGUUCUUUAAGAUGGAUGUAUUUCAGCACAUGGAUUCUGGGUAUUGAAAUCACCCCACGAGCUCCUGCAGAGCCCCCCUGGCAAAUUGGAAACAUUAUACACUCCUGUACUCCAUUUGGACCAGAACAGUGCAGGCAACAUGCAGACUGUGAAAUGUUAUCUACAGAAACCAUUAUAGUUUGCUCAAGAUUGAGGAGUAAAAAAGUGAAGUAAUACCAGAUGGUUCUGGAGAAAGUCACAAGCAGUAAAAUGUUUGAAUUGAAUUUCCUUCCAUCCACCCAUCCAUUUUCCUCUACUUGUCCAGAGUCGGCUCAGGCCAGCUCCUCCGGGGGAAAUCCUUAAGUGUUCCCUGGCCAAGAGACUUACGCCGGGGACACACCGGCCGCCGAAGCGCCGCGAAACGGGGACCGCCUUCGUUCGGCGCCCUUGUUUUCCUAUUCUAUAGGUCACAUGGGCCGCCGAAGCGCUGCGCCGGCGCUCCAGCCCGCGCCGUGCAGCGAUCGUUUCGGUGUCGGCUCUAUUUUUUUCGCGAGCCGCGGGUGAACCGCGCCAAUUCUGACAGGAAGUCAAACCUAGACAUAAGAGGCAGGCUGGUAAAUUUAACAAAAUAAAGCAUUUCAAAAUACAAUUCCGCCAUAGUCAAAUGUGUUCAUAAACAGACACUGCAUAAAAACCACACACACACACACACACACACACACACACACACACACACACACACACACACACACACACACACACACACACACACACACACACACACACACACACAGCAAACUUGUGUGUGUGUGAGACCACGUGAAGGGGGUGUGGUUUGGGGUGUCUUUCAACCGGAGCAAACAGGACAGAGAGGCAGAAAGUCGUAGGCCAGCUAUUAACAGCUAGCCUGGCAAGCCAGACUAAAUAAAUGUAUUAUUUAGUCUGGCAGCGCUCCAUUGACGGCUCUCGGUUGUGGGGCGGGUUCUACCGUUGUCUUUCAAACGAUCUCCGCAUGCCACUGGACAAUGAAUGUGACAUACUCUUGUUUCACUCUGUUGCAUCAUCCCACCCACCAGGCGUAUAGAGUGCCCCGAUUGGCCCACAAAGCGGAUAAAGCUCUGUGAUUUGUUCACUAAGCAGAUAGAGCACUAUGAUUGGCGCACCAUUAUAGACCAAUCACAGCUCUUUAUGUGUUUGAAACCCCUCUAGAGAGCUGUGAUUGGCUAGCCAGAAUGCUGUUGGGGCUGCAGAGGUUCCAGUGGAGCGUUCCUAGACCAAACUUUGCUAAGCAAGACUUUGGUCUAGUUCACUAGGCUAAUUAACAACUGGUUCACACCAUAGGUUCACACACACACACACGCGUACAAACACACACAAACAGCAAGGGGGAGGGGGGUGUAGAGGAAAAGAGCAGAGAAAAGGCAGAGAGGAAAUGGAGGACACCAAGUGGUUAAAAGAAAAACUACAGCUGAGCCGAGGCGCGCCUCGACCGCACCGGAGAAACAAGCGUCUGGUCUGAACUGAGGAGCAGCGGCCGAAUUUCAUGAGCGCUUUGCCUCCCGGCACUUCGCGGCGCUUCGGCGGCCGGUGUGUCCCCAGCGUCAGUCCCUCUAGCGUGUCCUGGGUCUUCCUUUAGGUCUCCUCCCAGUGCUCCGAAAACCUCACCAGGGAGGCGUCCAGGAGGCAUCCUAACUAGAUUCCCGAGCCACCUCAGCUGGCUCGUCUCGAUGUGGAGGAGCAGCGGGUCUACUCUGGGCCUCUCUCCGAUAGCCGAGCUUCUCACCCCAUCUCUAAGGGAGAUCCCAGCCAGCCUGCAGAGAAAACUCAUUUUGGCCGCUUGUACCUGCGAUCUCAUUCUUUUGCUCACCACUCAAAACUCACGACUCUCUACAACGCCCGCAUCACUGCAGACGCAACGCCAAGCCGCCCUUCAGUCUCACGCUUCAUCUUUCCCUCACUCGUGAACAAGACCCUGAGAUAAUUAAACUCCUCCACGUGAGGCAGGACCUCGUCCCUCACCUGUAGGAGGCAUUCUACCCUAGACCAUGGUCUUGGGUCAUUCCAUACAACUAAUUUCCCUCUGGGAUGAAUAAAGUAUCUUUGAAUUUGAACUAGAACAGUUAAUGCGCCAAUAACAACAUAAGACACAGCUAGCAUUACAUUUGGGUAAAGUCCAGGAUUUCUGUGCAACAUCGGAUAAAAUACUUUCUACUGUCCAUUUUCUGUUCUGCCCAUGCAUGCUCGUCAUAGGGAGGGUUAUUGAAUUCAUGUAGCCGAGGAGUUUGUUUGAAAUGCAGUGCGUUCAUCCCUGCAAAAACAGAACUACUAAGAAUAAAAGCAUUGUCGAUGAAAAAGUGAUAACUUUGAGUCGUCCUGUCCCUCUAACACUUAGCCCAUGCCCUAUAGUGCUUUUGCAAAACAGUGCAAAAGGUCUUUUUAUAGCAACUGUGCAGUCGUCGCUCAACAUGUACAGAGCAUUAAAAAGCAGACCUACGGGACUGCUUUAGACUAUUAUAUGUGUGUUUGGCAUUCUGCAGUGGAGCUUUGUCCUCUGCCCUGCAGUGGAAUAGAAGUAUAUCCCAACCAUGUUUGCUAAUUAUGUUUUCCAAGCACAUAUUUCAUCUGCUGCUCAGUGUUCCCUGCCUGCACUUAUCAUACCCCCAUCCUCCAUCCUCAUACCCCGCUUACAUUUUCCGAUGUGCAACCAGCUUGUCUUUUACCUAAUUCAAAAUGGUGGAAGUGAAUUUAAAUAGUGCUGUUAUCAGAAUUAAACCCGGCGUGGCAUUACUUAUUAUGUGAUGGACUUCCUCAAAAUUACCAUAACGUGCUUAUAAACCUUUCCUCUACUUGAUUUGUAAGAUUUUCUUUUGUCAUUCAUUUGAAAUCUCUUCAUCUUGCAGCUUCCUAUUCACUCACCAUGUCGUGUUCUGCCGGGGAGGAGCGAGAUGCAUCAUCUUGUCUCGUGGUUUCACUUCAAAGCAUUUUAUUCAUUUAAUUAAAAACUGUCAGCAUGUUUGCUUCUUCAGCUGGAAAGGAGAUCAGUCGUUGCCCAAAUGUUUCAGAAUUUAUUUUAUUGACAUCUGAGGCACCGUUUGAAGUCUUGACAUGUAGAAAACCGUUUCUGUGAACUCCACCAACUGGUUAUGAUACGCCAUUGUCACCGCUGAGAUGGAUUAUGCCGGGUCACGGCUGACACCUCAGCAGCACUCGCUCACUUUCCAACCCCCUGUGCUCAGGAGUCUAUGGCGGAUGCGUUUCCAGGAAUAUUUGUGUGUCUGGGUUGACAGGUGCACAGCUGCACACCUCUGGAGCGGGUGCUGCCCGGCCAGAUGCUGUAGCAUGUCUGUGCAUUUGCAAGUGGUUGGAAAUUUUUUUGGCAAAGUGGACACUGCAGAUGCCUCUGAUUGCAUGGUGAGUCAAGUCGGAAUUUCCUCCUGGAUUAGGGCAGAGGAUCAGCAGUUAGAGCCCACUGGGCCAAGUUGUCGCACUUUGGCUGUGAACACAAGCAAACUUUGGAGCAGAAAGGCGCACAAACACUGAAACGCAUAAGAGACGCAUGCCAGAGCCAACUAAAAUAGAUCAAAUUCAAACCCCUGGAGAUGAUUGGAGAUGAUGAGAGUCUAUCUACUGGCUGAGGUGAUAAUCUUCCUUUCUUACUCUCUGGAGACACAACUUUUUAUUGUGCAUUAGAUUAAUGAUUGUUAAAGCAUUAACUCGUUCACUGCCAGUCGUUUCCUGAUCACAAAAGCCCUUCGCUGCCAGCAUUUUUCAGCAUUUUCACUUUUUUUUAAGAGUUACAGAAUGUCGCACGCUAGGAUGAUGUCGACGCCAAAACUACCAAAACCAAUUAUCCGUUCUUUCAUAAUCCAUUGUCGAAUUGUGGUCGGCAGAAGCUUUUUCAGUUCGUGCCUCACUUUUUUUUACAGCAGCGGCCCAAAACGAUCCUCUAACACGUGGAUUUUCUGCUUUCUGAUCAUGUGACGUGUGACGUACGUGGAUGAAGAUCGGCUUUAGAGCCGAGAUGUUUGUUCUCAUGGUGCUGGGACUCGUUCCGACGCCCAUACAUUAAAUGCAAAUGACAAAUUUAGUCGUCAAUGGCAGUGAAGGAGUUAAGGGCCAGUGAUGAAAGGAUGAAGCAGUCAUCUUUGUCAGUUGGAGUAAAACAAAAAAAAAAGGUCACUGAGAUACUUUCUACAUUCUGGAAGUUUCUGUAAAAACUUUUUUUUAACCCUUUAACUGGAGGGUCAGCAGCUACUUUCUCCACUACUAAAAGAAACCAAUAAAAACAAUCUAAAAAAUAUGGAAAAGUUUGAAAAAAAGUUUUUAUAUUAAGGGAAACCUAAAAUUAUAACUUAUUUUACAUUUUAUUACAACUCAUUAAUCAAUUAAUCAUUUGUCAUUAUUUGUAAUAGACAAAGAGUUUAUUUAAAGUGAGGAUCAAUGCAUGGGUGGAGACGUAUUUCAUCCUCACUUCCUGUAAGAAAAACGCUUCUGAAAGAGGCGUCGCCGGGCGGACCGAGAGAGCGGCACUGAGGCAGUGGUGGACCCCCCCCCCCCCCCCCCACACACACACACACACACACGUGUGCUGUCAGAGUUUCUCAGUCUAAAAUACAAGUUGUUAAGGAGCGCGUGCGCACUCGCGUGUGCACGCACUCACACAAGACUUACCGCUCAGGAGAAAAGCAAACAGCUUCUGCAGCAUUCUGGAGGAUUUCCUGUUAAUCCCGAUCAUUAGAUGAAAAAGGGAAGGAGGACAUUUUUUGUCAGGUGAGAGGCUCAGAGAGCUGAUGUGUCAAAUCAGCAGGUGAGUGGCUGAGCCAGGUGGAGGUGCGGCUGCCUCACCUGGAGACCAGUGCAGUGCAGCCACGUAGUACUUUGCUGCUAAUGUCACGUUUUUCAGCUUAGCCAUCAGCCACAGCUGGCUCUGAAUAAAUGUGGAGUAGAGUUUAACCUGAAGAUGGAGAUAUAAUUAUGGUUUUGGGCUGAAAUAAUAAAUUUAAAGUUGCACUAAACUGCCGCACUAAUGAUUACAUCUAUACAAGUUAUCAGCAAAAAGUACAUUUAGGCCUUACUUGCUCUUUCAAUUUUUUUUUUGUUUCAGACUUUUCCAGCUUUAUGAUAAAUAAUACCGAUUUAUUGGUGCUGAUGCUGUCGGGAAAAAAAAAGAAAACAAGUAGCAUUGAUGCUGCUUUAAAAUCGCUGGUUUUAAACUCUCAAAGCUGAAAAAUGUGAUGGACAUCUCUCCAUAGUUCAUCGCUUAUGUUGCUUUGUGCUCCUUCAGAGCAUCUUAAAAUGUAUGCUUCAUCUGGUCAAUAAACACCACGUUUUACAUCCCACAGCUGCUUGUCCGCUUCCUCUAAUGAAUGAAAUAACAGCAUACUUUGACAAUUAAAAACUUUUGAUUCUAUUAAUGUCCAUGGACACCUUUUGUGAUGUCACUCGAUACGCUGACGUCUUGGCAAAGUCCUGAGAAGGAUGUAUGUGGACACAAUGGCUGAGAGGACUGAGCCAUUUUGUUUUCCACCCUCCCAGAAAUUUCCCAGAACUCUUAUAGUGGAAACACGGCUAUUGACCAUCUUGUCUGCUCGGAAGCAAAAUGUUGGCACAAUUGUCUGCAUUAUCUCUACACCAGAACCAAAAAGGUCAGUGACCAGCGAUUGAUUAUGCUGUCUGCCGUGUAUUAUAUCGACUUUUACCACCGAUGUUACAUGGAGGUCCUUGUUUGCUCAACACCUAAUAAUUAUGUGCACGUUGGUGGAAGUGUCAUGGGGAUAUGUUCCCCCUGGGUUCAGACAGAGUCUGCCUUGAAGUGGAGAAGUUUUGAUACUUCAGUGGUUUGUUCACAAGAGACGGGAGGAUGGAGCGGUAAAUGGCCUGUAUUUGAUAUGGCACCUUCUAGAGUCCUAGAACCCCCACCAAGCCAGUUUACAACACGAUUUCAAAUCAAUUCAAUUCAAAUUCAAAGGUACUUUAUUAAUCCCAGAGGGAAAUUAGAGUUCCAGUACACACAAUUCAGAGAUCAGACAUACAUACAUACAUAGGCAAAGACACGUGACAAGAAUUGGUGACUGUGGUCAUUCGCAAUCCUGAGUCACGCUACCUUAAUAGAGAUCAGAGGGUUACAUGAGGAUUGGUUCAGGUGGAGGGAAAAAAGGCACUUCAGAGUUACCCUCCACAGAGAGGGCAGCUUUGCUAUGCAAACAACCACCUCAGAUAGAAAUGCAACAGACUUCAGGCAUCACACAACAUAAGUGUCCACUAGGUGGGGUGGUGGGUUUGGAACUCUCCACACGUCAGUUCCUGCAGCCACGAUAAGCAGCGCACGUCACCUCAGUCUGGACAGGGGAAGGAGGUCGUUGAGGUUUGAAGGGCACAGUGACUCCUGGAACGAUUCGGCGGGCUUCACAGCCCGCAGUCCUGCCCAGGCUGGGAUAGGCUCCUCCCCCUACCCUCACUUUAAAUUUACUGAUCUGUAUAUGUUCAAACUGUCAUCUAUGGCCACAAGAUAUGACUGACUGUUAAGAUGGCCACUUACAUAUUCUCGGAUAUAAGAGGCUCAGGAGGAGUCAUUUGAAGUGGUUUUGGCAUCUGACAUUUGAUUAGGAUGCCUCCUGAUUGCUUUCCUCUUGAGGCUUUCCGAGUAGUGGCGGAAUACCUAAAACUUCCAGUAGGGAUUACAUAUCCUUUCUGAUCUGAAAACACACUGGAGAUCCUCCAGGAGGAGCUGGAUAUACAGGGCUGGAGAGAGAGCAAUGACUGUGUCUCUCUUGGAUCACCAUAGGUAGAAGACUGUUGGAUAGAUGGACUGAUGAACGAACACCGUGGUUGCACUAAACCAGGGGUGUCGAACAUGCGGGCCGGAUCUGGCCCGCAAGCGGGUUAAAUCUGGCCCGCGAGAUGGUUGUGUAAACUUUAUUUUCAUACUUUACAAUGUAGAGUGAAAAUAAACUUAUCUUUGUGAGCAAGUUUCCUCUGUAAUGAGUAUAAAUGAAACAAAGCUGCGCUCAAGGCUCACACAAGAACUUGAAUCACAUCUUGAAGAUGGCCGCCACUCAGGAUGUGACUUCUGAUAUUGAUGUUCUGGUGACAGCUAAAAGAUGUGAAGUAAAAUGAGUUAAAUAUACUUUAAGUGCUGCAUGAAACUGAUCUAGCCAUGUGAUCUGUAAGCUCUUUGAAUCACUAAGGAAUGUUCUUUUAUUUAUUUAUUUUUUUAAUUUUUUUUUUUCAAAUUUUCAAGUACACUUCAGGUGUUGUACUUGUACUACACUGUCCUCAGGCUCCAGCCUUGUUUUAUGUUGAUUGUAUUAAAACAAAGACAACAAUCUGAAGUUUUUUUUUUUAUUAUUAUUUACCGGUCCGGCCCACUUGGGACUAGAUUUCCCUCAAUGUGGCCCCUGAGCUAAAAUGAGUUUGACACCCCUGCACUAAACUCAAGCAUUUUAUAGAGAUGCAAAGAGUUCAACUAAUACCUAACAUCACAGAAAUGACCUGGAAUGAAAUCCAGUGACACAACAUUGGGCCAGAGUAAGUGCAAAUUUUAUUUUUGAACUGGGUGUUGGGGCUCUGCAAUUGGCAGGAAAUAUGUGAAAAUAAGAGCAGAGUAUCUGCCGCGCCAGCUGAGACUGCUAUUUGACACUGAACCUGGCAGUGGGAUGGCAGUGAAAGACAGAAGGUUUUGAACAUGAUGUGCAGACUUGGACAAGCUGUCAGACAUAAAUGGAUGGUUUGUUGUCAUCAACAGUCUGCGGAUCUCCCUAGUGGAGGAACAGGUCUGCAAUCACAAUGUCUGUGUGCUUGUAUACAAGGACUCAUUUAGUAGCACUGGGAUGUAAUACUGCAUAAUUGAUGAACCAGGGGCACAUGUGGAUUGGGUGUAUGUAUCUCUGGCACGGGCAUCAAACAUGUUUUCUUUACUAAUGAAGCCUGAAAUAUGUUCAGUGGAGUUUCAGACUGUUAAAGGAUGCCUUUUUGUUAUAAUUAAUGAUUUUCUUCCCAUUUUUUAGCCUGUUGUGGCUUAUUUUAAUGCUGCAGUGCAUUUAUUUAUUUAUUUAUUUUGCAUUCCCUUUUGCAUCCUUCCUCAGGGUCCGUCUGUUUAUUUAACUCCCACACACAAACAGACACUGAGAAAAUGGAGACAUGAGAGUAUUAACAGCCAGGAAACAAAAUGCUUACAGUAUAUUAUAAGGUGCCAUUAAGUGUAAACAUACCUAAAGCAGUUUUUGGUUGCUGCUGCAGUUAACGCCAUCAAAACUAUUCCUCACAGAGCAUCAGUGCAAACGCAUACUUAAAACCCUGAGGAUGAGUUUAUGUAGCAGCGCUGCAGAAAUGCAGAUUGCGUUGCUUAUGAGGAGGAGGCAUUUUGCAAUUGAGGAAAUCUUGAUGACACACUAAAACCCAGUAGUGGGUGUAUCAGACAGCCUUCAUAUCUAGCUUCCCUUCAUUUGGCCAGUGAGAUGCUGAUUGUCAGUGGACUCAUUUGGUCUCCUGCUCUUCCUACAUGUUGUUCCCUUGUGUUGUCUGCCUUCUAAUGAGAUUCUCAGAUACUUAAAGAAGCACUUCAUGUAAGUAACCAAAAAAGACCGUGCUGAUGAUCCAUCGAUUUCCCGAGCUCCUUUUAUUAUAAACCAGUUGACAUUUAUUUGAAAAGAAGAGUGAAAAUAAACAAAAUCGUACAUAAUAUUUAGGAUGCACAAAUUUUUAGUGAAUUUUUUACCUUGCCAUGUCAUGGAGUUUGCAUGUUCUCCCUGUGCAUGCAUAGAUUGUCUCCGAUUACUCCGGCUUCUGCCACAGUCUGAAAGUAUGACAGUCAAGUUUACUGGUCUUUCUAAAUUGUCCUUGUGUGUUAGCAUGUGUGUGUGUGCAUAGCUGUUUGUCUUGUGUGUCUCUGUGUUACCCUGCAAUGGCCUGGCAAUCUGUCCGGGGUGUACCCCACCUGUUUGCCCAGAGACUGCUGGAGACGGACACCAGCCCUCCACGACGCUGCAUGGACAAGCGAUGGAGGUCAUGGAGUGUGCAGAAUUCAUAAGGUUUCCUACAUAAGUCUAACGUUCACACUUAAAUUAAACAAACAAAAAAGAGAAAAAUGUCAUUGCUCAUCGCAGCAAUCAUACAUGCAGUUUCCAGUGACUCGUGAUUUAUAUUAGCACAGCUUGUGGUCCAUUGUAGUGUCCUGUCUUUAAAGGUCUUUAUAGUAAGUUUACAGAAAAUAUGUAAUGGGGAACAUGCUUCAACACAAGCAGUUGUUUUCCGCUUGUGCUCAACCAGUGUCUAUUUAAUGUAGCGUAAUAUUGUUUUUGGAUGGUAAAAAGUGCAAGGGACAAAAAAUGGCUUUGGAAAAAGCGGGGUGGACCCCCCCCCCCC